CGACAAGCAAUAUUUUUUCCAUUUUUAAUUUUUAUUAUAAUUUUGCUAUUUUAUCCAAAUAUGUAUACACUGUAUUUACACUGUAUAAGCAUAUUUUGGAAGUUGCAGUCUUGGUUGCAGCAUCUCACAAUUUCAAGUCACGAACUACCACUGCUUAUAAUGUACUUAGAUAUUAAAAGUACAUACAGUAGACUUCCUGUUAACUGGCCCCUAGGGGACCAGAUCUCAGAGCAAAUAAAUAAAUGGUUAGUUAAUCUGAAAAUUCAUGCAAAAUAUAGGUUAUAAAUAAAAUAUAUUGUUUAUAUAAUUUUUUUAUUCAAUUUAC
This 325-nucleotide long non-coding RNA is filed under the name Androctonus crassicauda. The record is from RNAcentral. Lineage: Eukaryota; Metazoa; Arthropoda; Arachnida; Scorpiones; Buthidae.